RNAcentral lists this ribosomal RNA (200 nucleotides) under uncultured prokaryote. RNAcentral's name for it is "partial 16S ribosomal RNA". It matches the Rfam family "Bacterial small subunit ribosomal RNA", at positions 1183 to 1382 of the family's 1533-position model. The record is from RNAcentral.
CGUCAAAUCAUCAUGCCCCUUAUGGCCUGGGCUACACACGUACUACAAUGGCUGUUAACAAAAGGACGCAAUGGAGCGAUCCGGAGCCAAUCCUUAAAAACAGCCCCAGUUCAGAUUGCAGGCUGAAAUUCGCCUGUAUGAAGUCGGAAUUGCUAGUAAUCGCGGAUCAGCAUGCCGCGGUGAAUACGUUCCCGGGUCUU